AGUGGCGCACGGGUGCGUAACGCGUAUGCAACCUACCUUAAUCUGGGGGAUAGCCCGGAGAAAUCCGGAUUAAUACCGCAUAAAAUCACAGGAUGGCAUUAUCCAAUGAUCAAACAUUUAUGGGAUUGAGAUGGGCAUGCGUGUCAUUAGCUAGUUGGCGGGGUAACGGCCCACCAAGGCGACGAUGACUAGGGGAUCUGAGAGGAUGGCCCCCCACACUGGUACUGAGACACGGACCAGACUCCUACGGGAGGCAGCAGUAAGGAAUAUUGGUCAAUGGAGGCAACUCUGAACCAGCCAUGCCGCGUGCAGGAAGACUGCCCUAUGGGUUGUAAACUGCUUUUAUCCGGGAAUAAACCUAUCUACGUGUAGAUAGCUGAAUGUACCGGAAGAAUAAGGAUCGGCUAACUCCGUGCCAGCAGCCGCGGUAAUACGGAGGAUCCAAGCGUUAUCCGGAUUUAUUGGGUUUAAAGGGUGCGUAGGCGGCCUGUUAAGUCAGGGGUGAAAGACGGUAGCUCAACUAUCGCAGUGCCCUUGAUACUGAUGGGCUUGAAUGGACUAGAGGUAGGCGGAAUGAGACAAGUAGCGGUGAAAUGCAUAGAUAUGUCUCAGAACACCGAUUGCGAAGGCAGCUUACUAUGGUCUUAUUGACGCUGAGGCACGAAAGCGUGGGGAUCAAACAGGAUUAGAUACCCUGGUAGUCCACGCCCUAAACGAUGAACACUCGCUGUUGGCGAUACACAGUCAGCGGCUAAGCGAAAGCGUUAAGUGUUCCACCUGGGGAGUACGCUCGCAAGAGUGAAACUCAAAGGAAUUGACGGGGGCCCGCACAAGCGGAGGAGCAUGUGGUUUAAUUCGAUGAUACGCGAGGAACCUUACCCGGGCUUGAAAGU
Molecule: ribosomal RNA, 893 nt
Filed under: Pedobacter sp. CNRA15
Lineage: Bacteria; Pseudomonadati; Bacteroidota; Sphingobacteriia; Sphingobacteriales; Sphingobacteriaceae
Description: bacterial SSU rRNA
Rfam family: Bacterial small subunit ribosomal RNA
Source: RNAcentral